Myodes glareolus (Bank vole) is the source of this 1919-nucleotide long non-coding RNA. RefSeq lists it as uncharacterized. The record is from RefSeq and is a predicted model, not a curated record. NCBI's taxonomy places the organism in Eukaryota, Metazoa, Chordata, Mammalia, Rodentia, Cricetidae.
CUACCUGGUGUUAGGCAAUGCUUUUCCUGUAUGAUUCUCCUCACAACAAUCUUGCAGGAUAGGUACCAUAAUCUUUGAUUCACAGACAAGAAAUAGAAGCCGGGUGAGUUGUCCAGGUACCCCCUAGGUAAGCAGGAAGCCGAGUUUCCAACACACUCUAAGCUACCCCUCCUGUCACUAUGAGCCUGCACCACCAGAGCUGUGAGCACACUGCACCGGCUGUGUCUCAAACAUGAUUGGCGGCGGGUAAUUGGUGUUGCAUAAGUGACCAGUACCCUGGGGGUAGGGGGUGGAGAUGGGAGAACGACACCUGGGCUCCCCAGGGCAAGAGGAUUAUGUUGCUAGACUCAUCUUUCCACAGACCUCUCCAAGGGGGCUGGGAAAUGUUGACAGACCAGUUGAGGUUGGAUCGGGUGCCAGGCACACCGGUGCGUUUACUUCCUGCUUCACCAUAUCGCUGGCAUUUUGCGAUGGAGGACACGGAAGACUCAAGAGGAUGUGAGCUUUUUCACAAAAUGGUGUGAGCUCUGAGGAGUGGGGUACAGGGGUCGCUUUUCUCGGCCCCUUCCCUCUCCCCGAUGUCCGCCGUUUCCUUUCUUCUCCUCCCGGUGUCCGUCGACCUGGUCCUUCACCGCAGAGCCCUUGCCAGGCCCUCCUUCCCUCUGUCCCAUUAAAUGUUCUUUUCAGCAGACAGCGCCCUGCCCCAGAGGCUGCCUGAGAAGGUGAUUCAUGUGUGGCCCUCGCAGGAUGAAACCUUUACUCCCUUUAGGUAACACGGUUGACAUUUAAAGGUCAAACCGUCAAGUUUCCAAGCGAGGAAGGGGGUUACACUAAACCAGGCUCGUGUCCCUGUUUCUAGGGUUGUAGGGAGUCUCUGCUCCUCUUUGCACGGCCCCCGAGGAGUGAGGGAGGCUUCCAGAGUUCUGCCCAUGCAAAGUAUAUAAGCGAAACUUAUUUGCAUCUAGUCCUCAAACAAAUGCCAUACCUGCCGAACAUUGGAUAACUCCCAAUCACCUCUCCUGCCCCAACACGGAAAGACUGAAGUCAUGAUUCAAGCAAUAGAGCUUUAAGCUGAGUGCGGGUGGGGUGAGGACACAUGACUUGAAAGUUACCAGGUUCUUCUGCUCCACGACAAAAGUUGUACCAGCCGCACAAGGAAAGGUGAGCUGAAAAAUGGAAAAAGAGCUGUAAAUGGACACAAAAACCUACGGAAGCCAGAUUCCUCGGCUUUAGGAGCGGACGAUUCAAAACUCAAGUCUACAACUGCAUUUAUAACCACACCAGGAAGAACACAAUGCUUAGGACUGAACCUAAUAAGCAGUGCUGACACAAAGACCUGAGUCUCAAUGGCACUUAGUGCUGGCGGGGUGCAAGGCUUGAUUUUGCUAAGCAGAGUAGCAAGUCCCACCGUUGUGGUCCACAGAUAGAGAGCACGCAGGACGACCUUAACAACCUUUCCUUCAGCAAUGGGAAAGCUGAUCUUAAAAACCAUAGAGACCUGUAGUGCAUGCCACACAUAAUCUUCAAUAAUGUGUUGAGGUAACUCUCUGCAAGAAUGAAGCUGAGCCCUGCUAGGGUCUGCGCUUGGUUUGCUGUCACUGCAGCUCAGACUGGAGUCUAAUCCCCGCUGUGAGGCAUUGUGAGGGUGGAAACUUAAUCUCACUACAUUGUAAAGAAAUGGAGCAUUUGGGGGUAUGAUUAGGAUUAGAUAAGACAUUUAGGAUGAGCCCUCCCACCCCCAUGACUGAAUCCUGGUGGCUUUGUAAGAAAGCCCAGAGGACAGACCUAGACAUGUGGACUUCCUGCCAUGUGUGGCCCUGAGCUGUGUCAGGACUCUGCCAGCAAGAAGGCUGUGGGGAGACUUGGCCUCUUCAUCACGGGCCAGAACUGUGAACCAAAAUAAACCCCUUUAUACUUCA